UCAGGAUGAACGCUAGCUACAGGCUUAACACAUGCAAGUCGAGGGCAGCAUAAUCGAAGCUUGCUUUGAUUGAUGGCGACCGGCGCACGGGUGAGUAGCGCGUAUCCAACCUUCCCCUUAGUAGGGCAUAGCCCGGCGAAAGUCGGAUUAAUACCCUAUGUUAUCCGUCGAGGACAUCUGAAGUGGAUUAAAGAUUUAUCGCUAAGGGAUGGGGAUGCGUCUGAUUAGGUUGUUGGCGGGGUAACGGCCCACCAAGCCUACGAUCAGUAGGGGUUCUGAGAGGAAGGUCCCCCACAUUGGUACUGAGACACGGACCAAACUCCUACGGGAGGCAGCAGUGAGGAAUAUUGGUCAAUGGGCGAGAGCCUGAACCAGCCAAGUAGCCGUGCAGGAUGACGGCCCUAUGGGUUGUAAACUGCUUUUGCAUGGGAAUAAAGUCGGGGACGUGUCCCCGUUUGUAUGUACCAUGAGAAUAAGGACCGGCUAAUUCCGUGCCAGCCGCCGC
Molecule: ribosomal RNA, 505 nt
Filed under: uncultured bacterium
Lineage: Bacteria
Description: bacterial SSU rRNA
Rfam family: Bacterial small subunit ribosomal RNA
Source: RNAcentral